RNAcentral lists this ribosomal RNA (892 nucleotides) under uncultured bacterium. Its description in RNAcentral is "bacterial SSU rRNA". It matches the Rfam family "Bacterial small subunit ribosomal RNA", at positions 48 to 934 of the family's 1533-position model. The record is from RNAcentral.
CUAACACAUGCAAGUCGAGGGGCAGCAUAGAGUAGCAAUACUUUGAUGGCGACCGGCGCACGGGUGAGUAACACGUAUGCAACCUACCUACAUCAGGGGAAUAACCCGGAGAAAUUCGGACUAAUACCGCAUAAUACAGGGAUGCCGCAUGGCAAUAUUUGUUAAAGAUUUAUCGGAUGAUAGAUGGGCAUGCGUUCCAUUAGCUGGUUGGUAAGGUAACGGCUUACCAAGGCAACGAUGGAUAGGGGAACUGAGAGGUUUGUCCCCCACACUGGAACUGAGACACGGACCAGACUCCUACGGGAGGCAGCAGUGAGGAAUAUUGGUCAAUGGACGAGAGUCUGAACCAGCCAAAUCGCGUGAAGGAAGACUGCCCUACGGGUUGUAAACUUCUUUUGUACAGGAAUAAAAGACAUUACGUGUAGUGUAUUGCAUGUACUGUACGAAUAAGCAUCGGCUAACUCCGUGCCAGCAGCCGCGGUAAUACGGAGGAUGCGAGCGUUAUCCGGAUUUAUUGGGUUUAAAGGGUGCGCAGGCGGGAUUUUAAGUCAGCGGUGAAAUUUUCAGGCUCAACCUGAACACUGCCGUUGAAACUGGGAUUCUUGAGUAUGGAUGAAGUAGGCGGAAUUCGUUGUGUAGCGGUGACAUGCUUAGAUAUAACGAGGAACUCCGAUUGCGUAGGCAGCUUACUAAGCCAUAACUGACGCUCAAGCACGAAAGCGUGGGGAUCAAACAGGAUUAGAUACCCUGGUAGUCCACGCCGUAAACGAUGAUUACUAGUUGUUUGCGAUAUACCGUAAGUGACUAAGCGAAAGCGAUAAGUAAUCCACCUGGGGAGUACGCCGGCAACGGUGAAACUCAAAGGAAUUGACGGGGGCCCGCACAAGCGGAG